ACACCAUCCAGAGCGGCUGAGAGACCUGGCUCCACGACGUCGCAGCAACCCCCCGGCAACGGGCGCGGGUGCUUCCGCCAGGAACGAUGGAGG
Molecule: non-coding RNA, 93 nt
Filed under: Kineococcus radiotolerans
Lineage: Bacteria; Bacillati; Actinomycetota; Actinomycetes; Kineosporiales; Kineosporiaceae
Also listed under: 1 other name
Description: SAM-I sequence
Rfam family: SAM riboswitch aptamer (S box leader)
About the family: The SAM riboswitch is found upstream of a number of genes which code for proteins involved in methionine or cysteine biosynthesis in Gram-positive bacteria. The SAM riboswitch acts at the level of transcription termination control. The predicted structure consists of a complex stem-loop region followed by a single stem loop terminator region.
Source: RNAcentral